This 460-nucleotide ribosomal RNA is filed under the name uncultured bacterium. RNAcentral describes it as "partial 16S ribosomal RNA". It matches the Rfam family "Bacterial small subunit ribosomal RNA", at positions 338 to 795 of the family's 1533-position model. The record is from RNAcentral.
CCUACGGGGGGCAGCAGUGAGGAAUAUUGGUCAAUGGACGAGAGUCUGAACCAGCCAAGUAGCGUGAAGGAUGACUGCCCUAUGGGUUGUAAACUUCUUUUAUAUGGGAAUAAAAUGUUCCACGUGUGGGAUUUUGUAUGUACCAUAUGAAUAAGGAUCGGCUAACUCCGUGCCAGCAGCCGCGGUAAUACGGAGGAUCCGAGCGUUAUCCGGAUUUAUUGGGUGUAAAGGGAGCGUAGGUGGAUUGUUAAGUCAGUUGUGAAAGUUUGGGGCUCAACCGUAAAAUUGCAGUUGAUACUGGCAGUCUAGAGUACAGUAGAGGUGGGCGGAAUUCGUGGUGUAGCGGUGAAAUGCUUAGAUAUGACGAAGAACUCCGAUUGCGAAGGCAGCUCACUGGACUGCAACUGACGCUGAGGCGCGAAAGUGUGGGUAUCAAACAGGAUUAGAUACCCUAGUAGUC